RNAcentral lists this long non-coding RNA (1738 nucleotides) under Phascolarctos cinereus (koala). Its description in RNAcentral is "lncRNA (ENSPCIG00000032760.1)". Lineage: Eukaryota; Metazoa; Chordata; Mammalia; Diprotodontia; Phascolarctidae. The record is from RNAcentral.
AUGAGGGUGCGGAGGGACCGUAUCCUGGAGCACCUGUCCUCUGGCAGGCAUUAUAGGAACCGCCGCCUCCUUAAGCAGCAUGGAGGCCAAACCCCUACCUUUAUAUCAGCAGCCUCAGACCUGAGUAACCACCUCCCUAUACAACUUGAUCCUCCUCCAACCUUGCUUUCUCAGCCUCCCUACGUUUUCCCAGGGGUUCCCUGCCUCACCAACACCAGUGCCAGCGUGGCGCCUUCGCCUCUUUCCUACCCCAAAGCUUUGCUCCCUGCCCACCUCAGUGCCAUCAGCUCUACAGCCAGUGCCGUGCCUGUCAGAGAAGACCGAACUCCAUCUACCUCCACCAGCCACCCUUCUGCAUUCACGACUCUUCGCAUGAGAAGCCCUGCUGGCCCCUCACAACAGAACAACCAAAGGCUUGUGUCAGAAGCCUCCAACAGUGUGGUUUCUGGAAGCGGAGUGGCCUGGCUUCCUAGUGAUGGGGCUUUGGGGAGCAGCCUUGGCCUUGCUCUCUUUGGUGUGGGCCAUGGGAGCAAGGCAUUGUUUCAGAGCUUAGUGGAAGAAGACAGCUGCUGCUUGCUCUAUGUUGUUGAAAAUCAGCUGUCAGGGGUCGAGCAGGCCUUCAGAUCAGACCGUUUGGUGAACACCCGCGUGCUUCGGGAACAAGAUGCUGACUUGUACUUAACGAUCAGCGGUAUGGUUACCAGAAACUCCAGGGCGUGCUUGUUCCUGGGGCUGUGAGGGUGCCAUUGCCUCUUGUGGUCAGUGGCAUUUCCGGGGACCGGACCAAACCGAGUCCUGGGAGUCAGCAUUUCUUACUCUUUAUUCACUUGUAAUCUGGCUGCUAAACCAACAGAUCAGGAUUGGUCCUCUUGUCAGUGGUCUCAAUUCCCUGUGGCUCCCAAAGACCACUCUUUGAGCAGUGGAGAUGCAGCUUAGCAGAUUCUCUGUUAUUCAUGGAGCUGUCAUGGGGCCAGCAGUGAAUCAGGACCCCCUGCCCAAUUUUUUGGCCUGUCUGACUGUGCCAGUGUAGCUAUAGAUCCAGCCUGUGCCAUUGGCUUCUCUGUGCCUUAUUUCCUUCUUUUCUUGGCCUGUCACAUUUUGAGAUUUAGUAGAAACAAUAAGUCCCACCUUGUCUUUAGUAUUGGAUGUAAGUAUUCUGAAAAUCCUCAGCUGAAAGGUGAUAUAUAAAUGUAAAGAAUAAUUAUUGACCGAAAACAGUGAUAAUGAAGUUUUUAAUACAACAGUUCUUUUUUUUGCCCCCUUUCACUCAAAAAGAUCAAUGUUUCAGAUUGGAUCAGAGUACAUACAUAGAGUCAACCUGCUUCUCUCCUCUCUCUUCUCUCAUUCUUUUUGUCGUGUGUGUGUGUGUGUGUGUGUGUGUGUGUGUGUGUGUAUGUGUAUGUGUGGGUGUGUGGGUGUGUAUAGACAGGUAUAAAAAGUUAUAUAUUUGGGCAGCUAGGUGGCGCAGUGGAUAAAGCAUUGGUGCUGAAGUCAGAAGGACCUGAAUUCAAAUGUGGCCUCAGAUCAAACAAUUCACACUUACUAGCUGUGUGACCCUGGGCAAGUCACUUAACCCCAGUUGCCUAAAGAAAAAAAAAGUUUUAUAUAUAUGUGUGUGUGUUGUGUAUCACUUUUUAUAAUUGCCAGCUCCACCCCCAUUGAACCCCCCCUUUUAACAAAGAAAGCCAUUUAAGCAAAAUCUGCUGAUGCAUCAGUUGUCCUCCUCACCUUCCACAUC